RNAcentral lists this ribosomal RNA (200 nucleotides) under uncultured bacterium. RNAcentral's name for it is "partial 16S ribosomal RNA". It matches the Rfam family "Bacterial small subunit ribosomal RNA", at positions 29 to 223 of the family's 1533-position model. The record is from RNAcentral.
AACGAACGUUGGCGGCGUGGAUGAGGCAUGCAAGUCGAACGUGAAAGCCGCAAGGUGAGUAGCGUGGCGGACGGGCGAGUAACACGUGAUCAAGCUGCCUGCGAGACGGGGAUAACUUCGGGAAACCGAAGCUAAGACCCGAUGGUCUGCGAGGGACGCAUGUUCUUUGCAGUAAAUGGGCGGGAUCCUUCGGGAUCGCC